UAUUUUGUCUCGGUCCAAGAAGCCAAUUCGAUUCAUUUGUCGCACAAGUGUUUGUAACAUCUUGUAUCAGAGGAAUACCUCCAGAUAGGAACUGUGUUCAAAAGGGAACAAUCGAGUGAAAAAAUUUCAGCAGUGCAUGGAAAACAACCAUCACUAUCUGUUGACAGGGUGGUUGAAUCACCUGAUUUCCUGUCUUGUCUGCCGUUUCCGAUAACAAUUUCCUUACGCAGAGAAAAAGUCAAUGCAUAAUAUUACUUUAUGCAGAAAACGAUACCACGUUUUACUUUUAAUGCCUAUUCAAGAGCAUUCAACUUCAUUGGGAUAUUCUAAUAUACGCCCAUAGUAGCUGAUCAAUUUAUACUCAUUCAGAGUAAAAGAUAGAUAGCUAACAUUAUGGAUCGUGUUAGUGGUACCUUCAAGCAAACUAUUUGAAACAGCAAAAAUCAAAAAAUUAUUAGGUGAAAGCAUAAUUAAUUUUGUUUGAUAAAAAUGUUUCACCUAACACAGAUUAAUAGUUCGUUUAUCUGAGGUAACACACUAUAUACCAGAAAUUAAAAUGAAUGUAAAAUUUCUAACUUGCUUGAUUGCAUUUAUUUUGAUCUUCUUGAACCCGUCAGUUGUGGCAUUUAUUAAAAAUGGAUUUAAAAAAGUGCCUCGUGGAUCUAUGGAUCUGGAGAAAUUUGAAAACCUGUUUGAAGAGAACCACAUUUGAUCAAAUGAACAUUGAACAAGAAGAGUAACGUGUUUUAUGUGCUUUUUAAAUAUAAUAAAUGCACCGAUAAUUGUUGUGUGAUUCAUAAUACUUAUCUGCGAAAGGGGUUUCUUUUAUGUCAGCAUAGAAGGAGCAUAAGGUCAGGAUUUGCAAAUGAGAUACUUUUAAACGAUCAAAAUGAUACCCAGCAAAAAGUACAUUUUAAAGCUACGAAUAUUUUCGUCUUUUCGGUUUAAAUAAAAUCGGGAAAUCCAGUGUAACAUCGCUCAUUACUCUACCAGGAAAGUGUGCAUAUUAGACUUUUAAACCUUUCAUCAUGCCAAAAUGAAAUUAUCAUAAAAAAGCAAUCGAAAAUACAACUUUCAACGGGAUAAGACAUUUGUGUGGCUCCAUAAAUCAACUGACGGCUCAAAAUCAGCACCAUGGGCAUUUUAUUCUUGAUAAAACGGUUGGCUUUCUUGAGUCUUGUAAUAUUCGUAUUUUUCGCUCCCAGAAAACUGGACAUCAACUUUAGGUAAGACUACAAAAAAUGCAUAUGUGGCCGUUUUAUUUUCGUUAAAAACUCUGCAGUCGUAUAUAUCGUUCGCUUUUUAGUAUGAGCAUACAUUUUUGAAGGCUAAUAGUCUUCUAAGCUAACCGGGUUGUGAAAACGAUCUAAUCAUGCACAUAUACGAGUAUGAAAAAACUUUACCAUAAAAUGAAACCAAUAUAUACAACUUUAACCCAUGUAUGAGGCAAAAUUAGAAAAUGUUCAUUUCGUUAUUUCCAAUUAACACGACUCACGCGAGACACAGGCUGUAGAUGUCCUGGGGCCGUACACUGCCCAGUCCGAUAUGUAAAAUGGGGCCUCCAGAACUAUGCGCACCAGGAUGGCGCACAACCUUAACAUAUUAUGUGUGUACCGGUUAGGAUUCAGGUUGUGCGAUAUCUUGCUGCGCAUACUUCUGGAGCACCGUAAAAUGUACGUGGUUCAAUAACUUAACGGGCCGGACGGAACAGUCACGUGGCGUUUAAUGCCCAGGUAUGUCUUUUUCGCAGGCGGGUUCAACAUUGGCUUUCUAUUAGUUGCAGGCACAAAAUAGUUUCUUUUUGUUAUUGUGACCAUAUGCCAUUAUUAGGGGUCCUUGCAGAAAUGAUGAUUCGAAACGUAUACAUUUCUGAAA
Styela clava is the source of this 1875-nucleotide long non-coding RNA. RefSeq lists it as uncharacterized. Lineage: Eukaryota; Metazoa; Chordata; Ascidiacea; Stolidobranchia; Styelidae. The record is from RefSeq and is a predicted model, not a curated record.